GCAUUUUGCGUGGUGCACCAUUAUCAUGGGUACCAUGUGUGUUUGGAUAUCUUUCCUGACCAAGUUCCUUUUUUAGUACAAUCUUUCCUGACCAAGUUUAUUUCACGCGGCCCGUAUUUUAACCUGCCGCAUCGAGAGGACACCAAGGAUGGCUUAGCCGGGACGUAAUUCGCGGUGACCGAAAGAAAUAAAGCAACCCAUAACUCCAUAAUACUGUACUAACUGACGUCAUGAUCCAACACAGCAGCAGACGGAAGGUGCACACUUCCUUCACCUGCCCCUGCAGUCCUGCACGAAUAUUGUACGUGAAGCAGCCGGCAGUCGGUUAGCGAUCGAUUUUGCAUCACUAUAGUCUAUAGCAAUGCUCAGUUAUCACGCGUGCCGCCUGGCCCCAACUUGAAAGUUGAAACUGCAUAAUAUAUCAACUUUUACGAGGGAAAUUAUAUCUUGUAAUAGUGGUACCAUCAUGGGAGACGACUCGAUGGAAGAAGGUUCAGAUAAGUGGUGACGUUUCAACCGACGGAAGGAGAAGUGUAUCAGCGUCUUCUCUUGAUUUUCUUUCAAUUUCCUCUCAUCGCGACGGCCGACGAGCGAGAGUCCUCGGUCUCUCCAGUGUCCUGCGGGCGGCAAAUGAUGUGGUGUGGUGGGUGGAAUCUAACGAGUCGAGAUUUGGCAUCCCCACCGAUUGGAUUUGGCGCGGGAAGGUGGUAGCCGACUGACC
RNAcentral lists this long non-coding RNA (721 nucleotides) under Brachypodium distachyon (stiff brome). RNAcentral describes it as "long non-coding RNA (BDIS_LNC002620)". Lineage: Eukaryota; Viridiplantae; Streptophyta; Magnoliopsida; Poales; Poaceae. The record is from RNAcentral.